This 254-nucleotide ribosomal RNA is filed under the name uncultured bacterium. Its description in RNAcentral is "partial 16S ribosomal RNA". It matches the Rfam family "Bacterial small subunit ribosomal RNA", at positions 524 to 776 of the family's 1533-position model. The record is from RNAcentral.
UACGGGGGGAGCAAGCGUUGUUCGGAUUUACUGGGCGUAAAGGGCGCGUAGGCGGCCAGCACAAGUCAGUUGUGAAAUCUCCGAGCUUAACUCGGAAAGGUCAACUGAUACUGUGCGGCUAGAGUGCAGAAGGGGCAACUGGAAUUCUUGGUGUAGCGGUGAAAUGCGUAGAUAUCAGGAGGAACACCGGUGGCGAAGGCGGCUCUCUGGGCCUUACCUGACGCUGAGGAGCGAAAGCGUGGGUAGCGAACAGG